This 376-nucleotide ribosomal RNA is filed under the name uncultured organism. Its description in RNAcentral is "partial 16S ribosomal RNA". It matches the Rfam family "Bacterial small subunit ribosomal RNA", at positions 527 to 896 of the family's 1533-position model. The record is from RNAcentral.
GUAGGUGGCAAGCGUUGUCCGGAAUUAUUGGGCGUAAAGCGCGCGCAGGCGGUCCUUUAAGUCUGAUGUGAAAGCCCACGGCUCAACCGUGGAGGGUCAUUGGAAACUGGGGGACUUGAGUACAGAAGAGGAAAGCGGAAUUCCAAGUGUAGCGGUGAAAUGCGUAGAGAUUUGGAGGAACACCAGUGGCGAAGGCGGCUUUCUGGUCUGUAACUGACGCUGAGGCGCGAAAGCGUGGGGAGCAAACAGGAUUAGAUACCCUGGUAGUCCACGCCGUAAACGAUGAGUGCUAAGUGUUAGGGGGUUUCCCGCCCCCCUUAGUGCUGCAGCUAACGCAUUAAGCACUCCGCCUGGGGGAGUACGGCCCGCAAGGCUA